GCCCGGGUGGAGGAACGGCAGACUCGGCGGACUCAAAAUUCGCUGCCCGCGAGGGCGUGUGGGUUCGAAUCCCACCCCGGGCA
Molecule: transfer RNA, 83 nt
Filed under: Solirubrobacterales bacterium
Lineage: Bacteria; Bacillati; Actinomycetota; Thermoleophilia; Solirubrobacterales
Also listed under: 2 other names
Description: tRNA-Leu
Rfam family: tRNA
About the family: Transfer RNA (tRNA) molecules are approximately 80 nucleotides in length.
Source: RNAcentral